RNAcentral lists this ribosomal RNA (497 nucleotides) under uncultured bacterium. Its description in RNAcentral is "partial 16S ribosomal RNA". It matches the Rfam family "Bacterial small subunit ribosomal RNA", at positions 28 to 507 of the family's 1533-position model. The record is from RNAcentral.
GACGAACGCUGGCGGCGUGCCUAAUACAUGCAAGUUGAGCGCUGAAGGUUGGUACUUGUACCAACUGGAUGAGCAGCGAACGGGUGAGUAACGCGUGGGGAAUCUGCCUUUGAGCGGGGGACAACAUUUGGAAACGAAUGCCAAUACCGCAUAAAAACUUUAAACACAAGUUUUAAGUUUGAAAGAUGCAAUUGCAUCACUCAAAGAUGAUCCCGCGUUGUAUUAGCUAGUUGGUGAGGUAAAGGCUCACCAAGGCGAUGAUACAUAGCCGACCUGAGAGGGUGAUCGGCCACAUUGGGACUGAGACACGGCCCAAACUCCUACGGGAGGCAGCAGUAGGGAAUCUUCGGCAAUGGACGAAAGUCUGACCGACCAACGCCGCGUGAGUGAAGAAGGUUUUCGGAUCGUAAAACUCUGUUGGUAGAGAAGAACGUUGGUGAGAGUGGAAAGCUCAUCAAGUGACGGUAACUACCCAGAAAGGGACGGCUAACUACGUG